This 560-nucleotide ribosomal RNA is filed under the name uncultured bacterium. Its description in RNAcentral is "bacterial SSU rRNA". It matches the Rfam family "Bacterial small subunit ribosomal RNA", at positions 8 to 612 of the family's 1533-position model. The record is from RNAcentral.
AGAGUUUGAUCCUGGCUCAGAACGAACGCUGGCGGCAGGCCUAACACAUGCAAGUCGAGCGCACCCCUUCGGGGGCGAGCGGCGGACGGGUUAGUAACGCGUGGGAAUGUACCCUUCUCUACGGAAUAGCCUCGGGAAACUGAGAGUAAUACCGUAUACGCCCUUCGGGGGAAAGAUUUAUCGGAGAAGGAUCAGCCCGCGUAAGAUUAGAUAGUUGGUGGGGUAAUGGCCUACCAAGUCUACGAUCUUUAGCUGGUUUUAGAGGAUGAUCAGCAACACUGGGACUGAGACACGGCCCAGACUCCUACGGGAGGCAGCAGUGGGGAAUCUUGGACAAUGGGCGCAAGCCUGAUCCAGCCAUGCCGCGUGUGUGAUGAAGGCCUUAGGGUCGUAAAGCACUUUCGCUAGAGAUGAUAAUGACAGUAUCUAGUAAAGAAGUCCCGGCUAACUCCGUGCCAGCAGCCGCGGUAAUACGGAGGGGACUAGCGUUGUUCGGAAUUACUGGGCGUAAAGCGUACGUAGGCGGAUCAGAAAGUAUGGGGUGAAAUCCCAGGGCUCAA